UGAGUUUGAUCCUGGCUCAGGGUGAACGCUUGUGGUAAGCCUUAUACAUGCGAGUUGAACGUAUUUUUACGUAGCGAACGGGUGAGUAAUGCAAAGGUUAUUUGCUUUUAGAUUCGGAAUAAAAUACCGAUGUAAAAGAAUCAGAUCGUCUAAAAAUAAGCUUUUGUAGAAUUAGGUAGUUGGUAAGGUAAAGGCUUACCAAGCCGACGAUUCUUAGCUGGUCCGAGAGGAUGAUCAGCCACACUGGAACUGAGACAAGGUCCAGGCUUUUUUAUAAAGCCAGCAGUAGGGGAUAUUGGACAAUGAGCUAGCGCUUGAUCCAGCUAUACCACAUGAGUGAUUAAGGCUCUUUGGCUGUAAAACUCGAUAUUUUGGGAAGAGAAUGACAAUACCAAAAGAAAAGUCCCGGCUAACUUCGUGCCAGCAGUCGCGGUAAUACGGAGGGGGCGAGCGUUAUCUGGAAUAAUUGGGCGUAAAGGGUUCGUAGGCUGUAUUUUGCUGUUGAAUGUUAAAAAUCAGAGCUUAACUUUGAAAAUGCAUUCAAAACGUUUAUACUUGAGUACGAAAUAGGACAAUGGAAUUUUACAAGGAGGGGUGAAAUCCGUAGAACUGUAAAGGAAUGUCAAAAGCGAAGGCAGUUGUCUGGGUCGUUACUGACGCUAAGGAACGAAAGCGUGGGUAUCCAACAGGAUUAGAUACCCUGGUAGUCCACGCCGUAAAUUAUGAGUGCUCAUGCUUAGAUUUUUUAGGCAUUUAGUUAACACGUUAAGCACUCCGCCUGAAGAGUAUAAUCGCAAGAUUGAAACUCAAAGGAAUUGACGGGGGCCAACACAAGUGGUGGAGCAUGUUGUUUAAUGCGAAAAUACGCGCGAAACCUUACCAGUUCUUGACAGUGUGUUAAGUGACGAAAAAAUAGCUUUUUUUGUCCUCUUUAUAGUAAGAAUUUUCACACACAGGUGUUGCAUGGCUGUCGUCAGCUCGUGUUGUGAAAUGUCAAGUUAAGUCUUGUAACGAGCGCAACCCAUGUCUUUUGUUGCUGUUUACAGUGCUUAAAAGAGACUGCCGCUCUACAGCGGAGGAAGGUGUGGAUGAUG
Molecule: ribosomal RNA, 1094 nt
Filed under: marine metagenome
Description: bacterial SSU rRNA
Rfam family: Bacterial small subunit ribosomal RNA
Source: RNAcentral